Molecule: ribosomal RNA, 271 nt
Filed under: uncultured prokaryote
Description: partial 16S ribosomal RNA
Rfam family: Bacterial small subunit ribosomal RNA
Source: RNAcentral
UACGGUAGGGUGCGAGCGUUGUCCGGAAUUACUGGGCGUAAAGAGCUCGUAGGUGGUUUGUCACGUCGUCUGUGAAAUUCCGGGGCUUAACCUCGGGCGUGCAGGCGAUACGGGCAAUACUUGAGUGCUGUAGGGGAGACUGGAAUUCCUGGUGUAGCGGUGGAAUGCGCAGAUAUCAGGAGGAACACCGAUGGCGAAGGCAGGUCUCUGGGCAGUAACUGACGCUGAGGAGCGAAAGCGUGGGGAGCAAACAGGAUUAGAUACCCGGGUA